Molecule: ribosomal RNA, 447 nt
Filed under: uncultured bacterium
Lineage: Bacteria
Description: partial 16S ribosomal RNA
Rfam family: Bacterial small subunit ribosomal RNA
Source: RNAcentral
AGUGAACGCUGGCGGCAGGCUUAACACAUGCAAGUCGAGCGCCCCGCAAGGGGAGCGGCAGACGGGUGAGUAACGCGUGGGAAUCUACCGUGCCCUACGGAAUAGCUCCGGGAAACUGGAAUUAAUACCGUAUACGCCCUACGGGGGAAAGAUUUAUCGGGGUAUGAUGAGCCCGCGUUGGAUUAGCUAGUUGGUGGGGUAAAGGCCUACCAAGGCGACGAUCCAUAGCUGGUCUGAGAGGAUGAUCAGCCACAUUGGGACUGAGACACGGCCCAAACUCCUACGGGAGGCAGCAGUGGGGAAUAUUGGACAAUGGGCGCAAGCCUGAUCCAGCCAUGCCGCGUGAGUGAUGAAGGUCUUAGGAUUGUAAAGCUCUUUCACCGGUGAAGAUAAUGACGGUAACCGGAGAAGAAGCCCCGGCUAACUUCGUGCCAGCAGCCGCCGUAA